RNAcentral lists this ribosomal RNA (459 nucleotides) under uncultured Bacteroidota bacterium. Its description in RNAcentral is "bacterial SSU rRNA". It matches the Rfam family "Bacterial small subunit ribosomal RNA", at positions 30 to 478 of the family's 1533-position model. The record is from RNAcentral. Lineage: Bacteria; Pseudomonadati; Bacteroidota.
UUUGGAGGCUACUGGCAGGCCUAUAACUGCAAGUCGAGGGGCAGCAUAAUUAUUCGCAAGAAUAAUGGUGGCGACCGGCGCACGGGUGCGUAACGCGUAUGCAACCUACCUUUUACUGGGGUAUAGCCCGGAGAAAUCCGGAUUAAUCCCCCAUAGUACUGACAAUUCGCAUGAUGAGUCAGUUAAAGUUUCGGCGGUAAAAGAUGGGCAUGCGUCCUAUUAGCUAGAUGGUAAGGUAACGGCUUACCAUGGCUACGAUAGGUAGGGGGCCUGAGAGGGUGGUCCCCCACACUGGUACUGAGACACGGACCAGACUCCUACGGGAGGCAGCAGUGAGGAAUAUUGGUCAAUGGGCGCAAGCCUGAACCAGCCAUGCCGCGUGCAGGAAGAAUGUCCUAUGGAUUGUAAACUGCUUUUAUUUGGGAAUAAACCCCCCGACGUGUCGGGGUCUGAAGGUAC